GACGAACGCUGGCGGCGUGCCUAAUACAUGCAAGUAGAACGCUGAAGGAGGAGCUUGCUCUUCUGGAUGAGUUGCGAACGGGUGAGUAACGCGUAGGUAACCUGCCUUGUAGCGGGGGAUAACUAUUGGAAACGAUAGCUAAUACCGCAUAACAGUAGAUGUUGCAUGACAUUUGCUUAAAAGGUGCAAUUGCACCACUACCAGACGGACCUGCGUUGCAUUAGCUAGUUGGUGGGGUAACUGCUCACCAAGGCGACGAUACAUAGCCGACCUGAGAGGGUGGGCAGCCACACUGGGACGGGGACACGGCCCAGAGUGCUUCGGGAGGCAGCAGUAGGGAAUCGGCGGCAAUGGGCGGAAGUCUGAGCGAGCAGCGCCGCAGGAGUGAAGAAGGAUUUCGGGUCGGGAAGGUCUGUUGUAGGGGAAGAACGAGCGUGAGAGUGGAAAGUUCACAGUGUGACGGUAUCGGACAAGAAAGGGACGGCUAACUACGUG
RNAcentral lists this ribosomal RNA (495 nucleotides) under uncultured bacterium. RNAcentral's name for it is "partial 16S ribosomal RNA". It matches the Rfam family "Bacterial small subunit ribosomal RNA", at positions 28 to 507 of the family's 1533-position model. The record is from RNAcentral.